GGGUUGUGAGGUUAAGCGACUAAGCGUACACGGUGGAUGCCCUGGCAGUCAGAGGCGAUGAAGGACGUGCUAAUCUGCGAUAAGCGUCGGUAAGGUGAUAUGAACCGUUAUAACCGGCGAUUUCCGAAUGGGGAAACCCAGUGUGUUUCGACACACUAUCAUUAACUGAAUCCAUAGGUUAAUGAGGCGAACCGGGGGAACUGAAACAUCUAAGUACCCCGAGGAAAAGAAAUCAACCGAGAUUCCCCCAGUAGCGGCGAGCGAACGGGGAGCAGCCCAGAGCCUGAAUCAGUGUGUGUGUUAGUGGAAGCGUCUGGAAAGGCGCGCGAUACAGGGUGACAGCCCCGUACACAAAAAUGCACAUGCUGUGAGCUCGAUGAGUAGGGCGGGACACGUGGUAUCCUGUCUGAAUAUGGGGGGACCAUCCUCCAAGGCUAAAUACUCCUGACUGACCGAUAGUGAACCAGUACCGUGAGGGAAAGGCGAAAAGAACCCCGGCGAGGGGAGUGAAAAAGAACCUGAAACCGUGUACGUACAAGCAGUGGGAGCACGCUUCGGCGUGUGACUGCGUACCUUUUGUAUAAUGGGUCAGCGACUUAUAUUCUGUAGCAAGGUUAACCGAAUAGGGGAGCCGAAGGGAAACCGAGUCUUAACUGGGCGUUAAGUUGCAGGGUAUAGACCCGAAACCCGGUGAUCUAGCCAUGGGCAGGUUGAAGGUUGGGUAACACUAACUGGAGGACCGAACCGACUAAUGUUGAAAAAUUAGCGGAUGACUUGUGGCUGGGGGUGAAAGGCCAAUCAAACCGGGAGAUAGCUGGUUCUCCCCGAAAGCUAUUUAGGUAGCGCCUCGUGAAUUCAUCUCCGGGGGUAGAGCACUGUUUCGGCAAGGGGGUCAUCCCGACUUACCAACCCGAUGCAAACUGCGAAUACCGGAGAAUGUUAUCACGGGAGACACACGGCGGGUGCUAACGUCCGUCGUGAAGAGGGAAACAACCCAGACCGCCAGCUAAGGUCCCAAAGUCAUGGUUAAGUGGGAAACGAUGUGGGAAGGCCCAGACAGCCAGGAUGUUGGCUUAGAAGCAGCCAUCAUUUAAAGAAAGCGUAAUAGCUCACUGGUCGAGUCGGCCUGCGCGGAAGAUGUAACGGGGCUAAACCAUGCACCGAAGCUGCGGCAGCGACGCUUAUGCGUUGUUGGGUAGGGGAGCGUUCUGUAAGCCUGCGAAGGUGUGCUGUGAGGCAUGCUGGAGGUAUCAGAAGUGCGAAUGCUGACAUAAGUAACGAUAAAGCGGGUGAAAAGCCCGCUCGCCGGAAGACCAAGGGUUCCUGUCCAACGUUAAUCGGGGCAGGGUGAGUCGACCCCUAAGGCGAGGCCGAAAGGCGUAGUCGAUGGGAAACAGGUUAAUAUUCCUGUACUUGGUGUUACUGCGAAGGGGGGACGGAGAAGGCUAUGUUGGCCGGGCGACGGUUGUCCCGGUUUAAGCGUGUAGGCUGGUUUUCCAGGCAAAUCCGGAAAAUCAAGGCUGAGGCGUGAUGACGAGGCACUACGGUGCUGAAGCAACAAAUGCCCUGCUUCCAGGAAAAGCCUCUAAGCAUCAGGUAACAUCAAAUCGUACCCCAAACCGACACAGGUGGUCAGGUAGAGAAUACCAAGGCGCUUGAGAGAACUCGGGUGAAGGAACUAGGCAAAAUGGUGCCGUAACUUCGGGAGAAGGCACGCUGAUAUGUAGGUGAAGUCCCUCGCGGAUGGAGCUGAAAUCAGUCGAAGAUACCAGCUGGCUGCAACUGUUUAUUAAAAACACAGCACUGUGCAAACACGAAAGUGGACGUAUACGGUGUGACGCCUGCCCGGUGCCGGAAGGUUAAUUGAUGGGGUCAGCGCAAGCGAAGCUCUUGAUCGAAGCCCCGGUAAACGGCGGCCGUAACUAUAACGGUCCUAAGGUAGCGAAAUUCCUUGUCGGGUAAGUUCCGACCUGCACGAAUGGCGUAAUGAUGGCCAGGCUGUCUCCACCCGAGACUCAGUGAAAUUGAACUCGCUGUGAAGAUGCAGUGUACCCGCGGCAAGACGGAAAGACCCCGUGAACCUUUACUAUAGCUUGACACUGAACAUUGAGCCUUGAUGUGUAGGAUAGGUGGGAGGCUUUGAAGUGUGGACGCCAGUCUGCAUGGAGCCGACCUUGAAAUACCACCCUUUAAUGUUUGAUGUUCUAACGUUGACCCGUAAUCCGGGUUGCGGACAGUGUCUGGUGGGUAGUUUGACUGGGGCGGUCUCCUCCUAAAGAGUAACGGAGGAGCACGAAGGUUGGCUAAUCCUGGUCGGACAUCAGGAGGUUAGUGCAAUGGCAUAAGCCAGCUUGACUGCGAGCGUGACGGCGCGAGCAGGUGCGAAAGCAGGUCAUAGUGAUCCGGUGGUUCUGAAUGGAAGGGCCAUCGCUCAACGGAUAAAAGGUACUCCGGGGAUAACAGGCUGAUACCGCCCAAGAGUUCAUAUCGACGGCGGUGUUUGGCACCUCGAUGUCGGCUCAUCACAUCCUGGGGCUGAAGUAGGUCCCAAGGGUAUGGCUGUUCGCCAUUUAAAGUGGUACGCGAGCUGGGUUUAGAACGUCGUGAGACAGUUCGGUCCCUAUCUGCCGUGGGCGCUGGAGAACUGAGGGGGGCUGCUCCUAGUACGAGAGGACCGGAGUGGACGCAUCACUGGUGUUCGGGUUGUCAUGCCAAUGGCACUGCCCGGUAGCUAAAUGCGGAAGAGAUAAGUGCUGAAAGCAUCUAAGCACGAAACUUGCCCCGAGAUGAGUUCUCCCUGACUCCUUGAGAGUCCUGAAGGAACGUUGAAGACGACGACGUUGAUAGGCCGGGUGUGUAAGCGCAGCGAUGCGUUGAGCUAACCGGUACUAAUGAACCGUGAGGCUUAACCUUACAACGCCGAAGGUGUUU
RNAcentral lists this ribosomal RNA (2931 nucleotides) under Escherichia coli. Its description in RNAcentral is "23S ribosomal RNA". It matches the Rfam family "Bacterial large subunit ribosomal RNA". The record is from RNAcentral. Lineage: Bacteria; Pseudomonadati; Pseudomonadota; Gammaproteobacteria; Enterobacterales; Enterobacteriaceae.